Molecule: unclassified non-coding RNA, 438 nt
Filed under: Hevea brasiliensis (rubber tree)
Lineage: Eukaryota; Viridiplantae; Streptophyta; Magnoliopsida; Malpighiales; Euphorbiaceae
Source: RNAcentral
CAGACCAAGCCCAGAGAUGAUCUAUUCUCUGCCAGAGCGCAAGUUCUUUUACAUACUUGGCUUGCUGGCCUACUCCUAAGUUAGGUAUGAGUAUGACUGGCUUUUAUACUAUUUGGUACAUGAUCAUCGGGACAAAUCAUUUGGUUCAGUCGGUUCAGUUGAAGAAAUAUACUGUUGACUUGUCUGACUUUGCACGAAUAUUUCCCUUUGCCCAAUCCAUAACUAGUUGGUAGAUAGAUAGGCCAGUCUUUAUCCAAAGAUCUUCCUUAUUGUCUUGCUUUAAACUUAGUCAAAUUUGCGUUAUACCAUCAUAUUUUCAUUUUUUGUUUAGAUUUAACUUGAUAUAUGCAUAUUUCUUCCUCCUCCGAACAGCUAUUAUCUUGAUUCCAUUUUUGUUUGUUUGCAGUUUGACGUUCAUGAUGUGUAAUUUACUCAAGG